UAAUUCACCAUAGAAUCUAACAAGUCUAUUUGCGAUGGCUGAAUGAACAUAUUAGUAUUAUGAGUGGUACCACUUGAUGCCUCCUUGAUGCAUCCACAAGGAAUUCAUAUGCCCCAUGUGGAAUGUUUAUAGGCAUGCAUAGGAAUCCCAGAAUCUUUUAUGUGUUAUACAAGAGCCUUACUCUAAUGGAUUACUUUUGAGUUAUUACCUACAGGCAUGCUAGCUGCAGAAGCUACAUUGAGUGUACUACAUGAAGGCUUAAACAUGGAAAAAUAUUGGGAUGCUUUAAGGAGUUCAUGGAUAUGGGAAGAACUUUACAAAUCUCGGAACUUCCGACCUGCAUUCGAAUACGGACUUAUUCCUGGACUGGCCAUAAGUGCUUUAGA
Prunus avium (sweet cherry) is the source of this 386-nucleotide non-coding RNA. NCBI's taxonomy places the organism in Eukaryota, Viridiplantae, Streptophyta, Magnoliopsida, Rosales, Rosaceae. The record is from RefSeq and is a predicted model, not a curated record.